UUAGUGGCGAACGGGUGAGUAACACGUGGGCAAUCUGCCCUUCACUCUGGGACAAGCCCUGGAAACGGGGUCUAAUACCGGAUAACACUCCUGCCUGCAUGGGUGGGGGUUGAAAGCUCCGGCGGUGAAGGAUGAGCCCGCGGCCUAUCAGCUUGUUGGUGGGGUAAUGGCCUACCAAGGCGACGACGGGUAGCCGGCCUGAGAGGGCGACCGGCCACACUGGGACUGAGACACGGCCCAGACUCCUACGGGAGGCAGCAGUGGGGAAUAUUGCACAAUGGGCGAAAGCCUGAUGCAGCGACGCCGCGUGAGGGAUGACGGCCUUCGGGUUGUAAACCUCUUUCAGCAGGGAAGAAGCGCAAGUGACGGUACCUGCAGAAGAAGCGCCGGCUAACUACGUGCCAGCAGCCGCGGUAAUACGUAGGGCGCAAGCGUUGUCCGGAAUUAUUGGGCGUAAAGAGCUCGUAGGCGGCUUGUCACGUCGGAUGUGAAAGCCCGGGGCUUAACCCCGGGUCUGCAUUCGAUACGGGCUAGCUAGAGUGUGGUAGGGGAGAUCGGAAUUCCUGGUGUAGCGGUGAAAUGCGCAGAUAUCAGGAGGAACACCGGUGGCGAAGGCGGAUCUCUGGGCCAUUACUGACGCUGAGGAGCGAAAGCGUGGGGAGCGAACAGGAUUAGAUACCCUGGUAGUCCACGCCGUAAACGUUGGGAACUAGGUGUUGGCGACAUUCCACGUCGUCGGUGCCGCAGCUAACGCAUUAAGUUCCCCGCCUGGGGAGUACGGCCGCAAGGCUAAAACUCAAAGGAAUUGACGGGGGCCCGC
Molecule: ribosomal RNA, 820 nt
Filed under: Streptomyces sp. 10CM32
Lineage: Bacteria; Bacillati; Actinomycetota; Actinomycetes; Kitasatosporales; Streptomycetaceae
Description: bacterial SSU rRNA
Rfam family: Bacterial small subunit ribosomal RNA
Source: RNAcentral